GUGCCAUGGCGGCGUGCUUACCAUGCAGUCGAGCGGUAAGGCCCUUCGGGGUACACGAGCGGCGAACGGGUGAGUAACACGUGAGCAACCUGCCCCUGACUCUGGGAUAAGCGGUGGAAACGCCGUCUAAUACCGGAUACGACCCACCACCUCAUGGUGGAGGGUGGAAAGUUUUAUCGGUCAGGGAUGGGCUCGCGGCCUAUCAGCUUGUUGGUGGGGUAACGGCCUACCAAGGCGAUUACGGGUAGCCGGCCUGAGAGGGCGACCGGCCACACUGGGACUGAGACACGGCCCAGACUCCUGCGGGAGGCAGCAGUGGGGAAUAUUGCACAAUGGGCGAAAGCCUGAUGCAGCGACGCCGCGUGGGGGAUGACGGCCUUCGGGUUGUAAACCUCUUUUACCACCAACGCAGGCUCCACGUUCUCGUGGGGUUGACGGUAGGUGGGGAAUAAGGACCGGCUAACUACGUGCCAGCAGCCGCGGUAAUACGUAGGGUCCGAGCGUUGUCCGGAAUUAUUGGGCGUAAAGAGCUCGUAGGCGGCAUGUCGCGUCUGCUGUGAAAGACCGGGGCUUAACUCCGGUUCUGCAGUGGAUACGGGCAUGCUAGAGGUAGGUAGGGGAGACUGGAAUUCCUGGUGUAGCGGUGAAAUGCGCAGAUAUCAGGAGGAACACCGGUGGCGAAGGCGGGUCUCUGGGCCUUACCUGACGCUGAGGAGCGAAAGCAUGGGGAGCGAACAGGAUUAGAUACCCUGGUAGUCCAUGCCGUAAACGUUGGGCGCUAGGUGUGGGGACUUUCCACGGUUUCCGCGCCGUAGCUAACGCAUUAAGCGCCCCGCCUGGGGGAGUACG
Molecule: ribosomal RNA, 849 nt
Filed under: Nocardiopsis prasina
Lineage: Bacteria; Bacillati; Actinomycetota; Actinomycetes; Streptosporangiales; Nocardiopsidaceae
Description: bacterial SSU rRNA
Rfam family: Bacterial small subunit ribosomal RNA
Source: RNAcentral